AGUGAACGCUGGCGGUAGGCCUAACACAUGCAAGUCGAACGGCAGCACAGUAAGAGCUUGCUCUUACGGGUGGCGAGUGGCGGACGGGUGAGGAAUACAUCGGAAUCUACUUUUUCGUGGGGGAUAACGUAGGGAAACUUACGCUAAUACCGCAUACGACCUACGGGUGAAAGCAGGGGAUCUUCGGACCUUGCGCGAUUGAAUGAGCCGAUGUCGGAUUAGCUAGUUGGCGGGGUAAAGGCCCACCAAGGCGACGAUCCGUAGCUGGUCUGAGAGGAUGAUCAGCCACACUGGAACUGAGACACGGUCCAGACUCCUAAGGGAGGCAGCAGUGGGGAAUAUUGGACAAUGGGCGCAAGCCUGAUCCAGUCAUACCGCGUGGGUGAAGAAGGCCUUCGGGUUGUAAAGCCCUUUUGUUGGGAAAGAAAAGCAGCAGGUUAAUACCCCGCUGUUCUGACGGUACCCAAAGAAUAAGCACCGGCUAACUUCGUG
This 492-nucleotide ribosomal RNA is filed under the name uncultured bacterium. Its description in RNAcentral is "partial 16S ribosomal RNA". It matches the Rfam family "Bacterial small subunit ribosomal RNA", at positions 29 to 507 of the family's 1533-position model. The record is from RNAcentral.